UCCCUGGUGGUCCAGUGAUUAAGACUCUGCACUCUCAACGUGGGGGACCCAGGUUCAAUCCCCGGUCAGGGAA
RNAcentral lists this transfer RNA (73 nucleotides) under Bos taurus (domestic cattle). It matches the Rfam family "tRNA". From Rfam's summary of the family: Transfer RNA (tRNA) molecules are approximately 80 nucleotides in length. Their secondary structure includes four short double-helical elements and three loops (D, anti-codon, and T loops). Lineage: Eukaryota; Metazoa; Chordata; Mammalia; Artiodactyla; Bovidae. RNAcentral also lists the same sequence under 2 other names. The record is from Rfam by way of RNAcentral.